GAUCACACCAACAGCAACAGCUAGGCACAGCCCACGAACAAACUGCCGUUGAGAAGACGAACCAUUUCUUCCUCCUCGGAGACACGAGGAGAACCUCGGCGACUCCUCUCCCUCCCACCCUUAGUCCCGAACUCCCGAUCGGAGAUUCUCGGCGGAGGCGCUGCAUCUCCCUGGGCGCAGGAUCUCGGGGCCCGGCGGAGAAGGUGGACCGGCAUCACGCCAACUGAUCGAGCAAGAGCCGAGAGGGACAGGGACAGGGACAGGGAGGAAGCGGCUCAGAAGACGAAGAGGAGAUGUCGUCCGACGGCGGGGGCUCCCAGAUGGGCGUCGCCGGCGCGCUGGGCCUCUCGGUCACGUCGUCAGUAGCCAUUGUUAUUUGCAACAAGUACCUCAUGAGCACCCUCAAGUUCUACUUCGCGACGACACUGACGAGCUGGCACUUGCUGGUGACCUUCUGCACGCUUCACAUAGCGCAGCGCCUGCGCUUCUUCGAGCCAAAGCCAAUCGACGCGCAGACUGUCAUCUCCUUUGGGUUUCUCAAUGGAAUCUCCAUUGGCCUCCUCAACCUUUGCCUUGGCUUCAACUCAGUGGGCUUCUACCAGAUGACCAAGCUGGCUAUUAUACCGUUCACCAUGCUCUUGGAGACCAUCUUUCUGAGCAAGAAGUUCAGCCAGAGCAUCAAGGCCUCUCUCAUGGUCCUCCUCCUGGGAGUUGGCAUCGCAUCGGUCACCGAUCUCCAGCUCAAUCUCCUCGGCUCCAUCAUCGCAGUGCUCACCAUCGCUGCGACCUGUGUCUGCCAGAUCCUGACCAACCAAAUCCAGAGGAGGCUCAAGGUGUCUUCCACUCAGCUACUGUACCAGUCCUCCCUGUACCAAUCCGCGGUGCUGCUCAUCACCGGCCCCUUCGUCGACAAGCUCCUGACAAAGAAGGACGUCUUCGCGUUCGAGUACACAUUCGAAGUCGUGGUGUUCAUCCUGAUGUCGUGCGGGAUCGCGGUGUCCGUCAACUUCAGCACCUUCCUGGUGAUCGGCACGACGUCGCCAGUGACGUACCAGGUGUUGGGCCACCUCAAGACGUGCCUCAUCCUCUCCUUCGGCUACGUCCUCCUCAAAGACCCCUUCACGCUCCGCAACCUCGCCGGCAUCCUCAUCGCCAUCUUCGGCAUGGGCCUCUACUCCUUCUUCUCCGUCUCCGAGAGCAGGAAGAAGACCGAGGGCGCAACGUUGCCCGUCAACACCCAGAUGAGCGAGAAGGAUUCGGCACCGCUCCUUGGCACAAAAACCUCGCCGUGGCAGGAGAGCAACGGCGUGGAGAACUUUGACGACGUGCCACGGACCGCGAAGAGCGCGUUUAGCCGGCAGCUGAACCCGUAGCUUAGGAUGGAUAUGCUUUGGUAAGUUGGUAUAGCAGCAUCGGCAUCUAUUCUUUCCCCUUUGGGGUUUCUCCUACAAUGAUGAGAAUUGCUCGAUGAUGAAAGUAAUGGUGGUAUUGUAAGGUGGUUCUAGGACCUAAAAAGUUCUGGAAGUAAUGUAGGACCGCAAGUGCCAACUUCUCCUACAAUGGUUGUAUGGCAGGGAUAUCGCAGAAAUUGCACCAGAAAUUUUCCGGAAGUUCUGCAAAAGGUGCAAUUUAUUAUGACAAUUCUC
This 1646-nucleotide ribosomal RNA is filed under the name Triticum aestivum (bread wheat). RNAcentral describes it as "partial small subunit ribosomal RNA". The record is from RNAcentral. Lineage: Eukaryota; Viridiplantae; Streptophyta; Magnoliopsida; Poales; Poaceae.